AUAUGGGGUCUUUGAGGUAAUUAGUAAAAGGCGCCCCCUCUGGGUGAGAGCGGGCAGUGGCAUCCCUGUGCCGGGGCAAGGAACUAAGGGCUGGAUUUCACCCCCCACUGGAACAUGAAAUGGGUGUUCUUGUAGGGCAGGGGCAGAGAGAAGGGGCUGCUGCCUCAGACUGUGACCCAGAGGCUCCCAGAAGUGUGAGGCCAGGCACCCCAGGCCCUGCAGGAAGUCCUUAGAGCAAUGACAUCUGUCCUCAGCGGGGCCGCGUGGAGUGCCACCUGGAGGAGUGCCCCGCCCUCUCCUGCCCCCAGGGCUGGGCGAAGGUGCGAGAGGCUGGCAGCUGCUGUGAGCGAUGCCAAGGUGCCAGACAGAACGAUGGGAGUUGGGGACGAGCGAGACCCAGUGUGAGGGACGGGCAGUUGACCCUACCCCGCUCCUGUCCCCUCAGCCCCCGCCCAGUCGUGCGCGCACGAGGGCCGGGCGGUGGCCUCCGGGGAGCGCUGGGCCGUGGACGUUUGCACCACUUGCUCCUGCGUGGCAGGCACCGUGCGCUGCCAGAGCCAGCGCUGCCCGCCGCUCUCCUGUGGCCCCGUGAGUGCCGCGUCUAGGGCGGUGGGGUGAGUGGGCAUGUGACAAGGCCUUCCUGGUAAGACCCGGCGGGAGGAAGGAGGCAGCGCUUGGGUAGCGGCCGCGGCGCGGUUGGGAGGGGGGCGGGGAGAGAGACCCUGCGGUCGUGCAGUUCCAGGCGCGGCCACAAGGCGGUGCCCUGAGCCCGCUUGCGGUGAGCCGGGGAGAUUCCCGGGAGAUCCUCGGUCCCAGGGGAGGCUCUGCGAGGGGCACCGCAGGGAGGGCGAAGUGUCUGACGGGAUCCGGGGCUGAGGCCAGGACGAGGCCCCCGCCCUGAGUCCCGGCAGCUGCUGCCCCCGCUGCCUGCCCCGACCCGCCUCCUGCAUGGCCUUCGGAGACCCUCAUUACCGAACUUUCGACGGCCGCCUGCUGCACUUCCAGGGCAGCUGCAGCUAUGUGCUGGCCAAGGACUGCCGCGGAGGGGACUUCAGGUGCGCAACCCCCUCUGCCUUCUCCCUAACUCCCCACACCUGUCCCUGCUGACUACUGCACCUGGGCCUCUCACGCCACAGCGUGCACGUGACCAACGAUAACCGGGGCCGGAGGGGUGUGGCCUGGACCCAGGAAGUGGCGGUGCUGCUCGGGGACGUGGCGGUGCGGCUGCUGCAGGGCAAAGAGGUCACGGUGAGCAAAGCUGAGGACCCAGGGAUGGUCGGUCCCGUGCUUUCCGCUGUCCCGACGUCGGCCCUCCUCCUGCCUCCCUCCUCCAGGUGGACGGGCGCCCUGUGGCCUUGCCCUUUCUGCAGGAGCCGCUGCUGUACGUGGAGUUACGGAGACGCACCGUGAUCCUGCACGCCCAGCCCGGGCUCCAGGUGCGGCGCAAGGGCCAGUGGGGGUGUGGGAGCCUUGGACCUGUUCAGGCCUCUGUCUGUAGAGGGAGUGGGAAUACCAGCUGGGUCCCGUGCCAAAUCAGGCCAGUGAGGUCAGAAAGUUCUGCUGGAUUCUGAGGGGGAGGAAAGGAAUCAUGGUCGGAGACCUUGGGUGCAGGGAAGGGAGGUCUGAGCCUGGUUUCUAAUCUUGAUUCAGUCACCAACGCAGUGGGACUCUUAGGCCAGUACCAACCCUCUCUGGGCCUGUUUUCUUAUUGGUAAAAAGGGGGAACAAUUCAGGGGAUGCCAACUAAGGUCUACGUGGUUUCUGAAAUUCCUUCCAAAUCCCAUGUCGAAGAGUAAAUUUCUCCCUGCCUUCGGCAAGAAGUACAAUUUGUAAAUGCCUAAAACAAGUCUCAUCGAUACUUCUGAUCUGGACUCUAAUCGUGCUUCAUCCUCUCUAAGGCCCUAAUGCCCAUGAGAAAGUGAAUCUCUGAAGCAUUUCACCAGGGGGCCCAGUUCAGGGGUGCCGAUGGGAGAAGGUGCCCUCCUGCCGGAGCUGUGGGCAGCUCUUCAUGUCUUCUGUGUGUGCCCAGGACUCACAGAGCAUGUGCCAACUUGGCUUUGGCCAGGGCAGCCUCCUUUCCACGGGGAACCUCUACCCGCCCAUUCUCCUCCCCCACAGCGUGGAGUGUGCUGACAGUGCAUGGGGCCAGGGUGGACCCUGGGCUUCUGGGGGUCCCUACCUUUCCCCAUUCCCCGAUUCCAACCUCUCUGCCCAGGUGCUGUGGGAUGGGCAGUCUCAGGUGGAGGUGAGCGUGCCCAGCUCCUACAGGGGCCAGAUGUGUGGGCUCUGUGGGAACUUCAAUGGCUUUGCCCAGGAUGAUCUGCAGGGCCCUGAGGGGUUGCUCCUGCCCACAGAGGCUGCAUUUGGGAAUAGCUGGCAGGUGAGUGGCACAGGAGCCGGGUGGCUGAGUGUGAUCAUAGAGCAGCCCUCUUAUAUGGAAAGGGGGGUGGGCACGAGAUGGGCUUUGCAGCUUCAGGGUGAUUUGGGGGCUUCUUGCUUCUGUCGUGGUGCUGGGGGAGGCAGCGUGGCCUGUUGAAUGAGGCCUCAUCAUCCGAAUCCGCAAGCCCUGCCUUGCCACUCACUGGCUGUGUGACCUUGGGUGAGUCACUUAACCUGUUCUGGGCCUUAGCUUGUCCAGCUGUAAAAUGGGGACAAGGAGAAAGUAGCUGGUGCUUCCUUUGCUAUUCUUGUCGGGAGAUUUUUGGAGCUAAACCAAAAUAUUUAGUGGAAAGUGUUUUUGAAGCACGUAGCACACAGAGAUCAGCCGCCAGUGGAUGCUGUGACAUCAGGGUCACUCUUGCCACCUAGGUCCCAGAAGGGCCGGGACCCAGUCGGAUAUGUUCCAAGGGCCGCGAGGUGGAUCCGUGCAGGGCAGCGGGUUACCGUGCCAGGCGUGAGGCCAACGCCCGGUGUGGUGUGCUUAAGUCCUCCCCGUUCAGUCGCUGCCACUCUGUGGUGCCACCAGAGCCCUUCUUUGCCGCCUGCGUGUAUGACCUAUGUGCUUGUGGCCCCGGCUCUUUGGCUGACGCCUGCCUCUGUGAUGCCCUGGAAGCCUAUGCCAGUCACUGUCGCCAGGCAGGGGUGACACCUGCCUGGCGGGGCCCCACACUCUGCGGUGAGGGGGAAAUGCCCAGCGCGAGUUGGGGAAGAGGGUGAGCAGGGCACCUGGAGCGCUGCCAGGGUGCCCCUGUGACCCUGCCUUCCGCUCCACCUGCAGUGGUGGGCUGUCCCCUGGACCGCGGCUUCGUGUUCGAUGAGUGUGGCCCGCCCUGUCCCCGCACCUGCUUCAACCAGCACAUCCCCCUGGGGGAACUGGCCGCCCACUGUGUGAGGCCCUGCGUUCCUGGCUGCCAGUGCCCCGCGGGCCUGGUGGAGCACGAGGCCCACUGUAUCUCACCCGAGGCCUGCCCCGCAGUCCAGCUCACUGGGGACCAGCCACCCAGGCCUCCGCCCAGCCCUGGCCAGUAGCCAGGACACCAGGACUCAUCAGGUCAGAAGCCUCUCCUCUGAGAACAGCUCCCACCCUGGCCAGAGCCAUGGAAAGAGUACCCCACCCAGGCAUGGGGUCCUGUGUCCCACAAAGACCUCAUCGUGUUCAAUCAGAAGCAGUAAAAUCGGGGCCUCUCCUACAGCUUACUUGUGUCUAUGUGUCUUUUCUGCUGGUGCUGGGAUGGUGGGGGCUUGGAAUAUGGGGUACAGCAGCGGUUAGUGUCCCCAGGAUCAGAGAGGUGGCAGCUGUGGGAGCUGAGCCUUCACUUCUUGCACUUACCGUACCCUGGUGUUGCCUGGGAAACCCUGCAAUGGAAGGAGGACCUAGGUAUCCUGGUCCCAGCUCCGUGCUCACACUAUGUCACAAGCAUAGCCCAUGGUCCCCACAUUGGUACCUCUGUGGAUCCAUGUGGAAUCCUGUUAGGAGGCUGAGGGGCACGGAGAAGGGGCUCAGUUUCCCCACAUGGCAUUCCCUUUCCUCUUGAUUUGGGGAAUACCAAAGGCUAGGCACCUCCUGGGCUACUCUAACAGCUGGUGACAUAGGGACCCCAUGCCUGGGGUGGGGAACAGAAGACACAACAGACUGUGAUGAAAUAUGGACACACGUGCACGCACACACACACACACACACACACACACACACCUCAGAAACCCAGAUAAACAUGCGCGGCACAUGCAUGGGCCCAUGUGUGCAUUCACAGCCACACCCACCCUGGACGGACAUGUGAGCAGGAGACAUCCUUGUAGGGAAAGGAGCAUGGUUUUUGAAAUAGACAAAAAGUCUAUUUCCUUGAAAAGUCUGUCUUCGAAAAGAACUCUAGUUUUUUUUGGCUGUGACCUUGGUGUUUUAGGAACCUUGGCUAAAAGAUCGGGGUGGGAGGGUCCUCCAUUCUCAUUGCCAGGUCCCUAAUCUUUCAACAGGAGUGAAGAGAGAGUGUUGGGCUAAACUGAGAUGGCCUGCCCUGCGAGCUUAGCCCACUUCUGCUGAGGCCCACCGGAGAGAGGUGGCCUCUUUCUCUCGCAGAGCCGUUUCAAAGCAGCAGGCACGCAAGGCUGCUCGUGACAGCACAGCGUGUGAACGUCACAGACCAGCUCGUGUGUUUGCACCUCCCCUCGUUAUGACCUGUACAAACCGUGUCCUCGCCUGAUGCAUCUCGCAUGUUGUGAGGAGUAAACAGAGUGACCUGUGGCCAGCACUUUGCACGUGGACAGCUUGGAACAAGCCCUUGGGAAGUGCUCACCGUCGCCCGGCCCGUGGCUGCUUGCGCCUGGGACCGUGUUUACCCCAAGCCUGUUUAUCACGGCCAUUUGCCUCCAGAUGAGGGGGACGUUGCCACAUGUUAGCUAGGGCAGUUUACUGUCUAGGCUGUUUUCUAAUCUGUAAAAUUGGGAUAACGAUAGCACCUACUUCUCGGAGUUGCUUCAAGGACGGAUUACUUGUAUGUAGCAUUUUGUUUCCUGCAGAUAGUAAGCUGUUGGUAGCCGCUGUUCGUAUUGGGCAAAUUACGUGUGGCUAUAAUGCAGUUGCAAGCUUCACAUGUAUACGUAAAACACGUACCCGGUCAGGAUUGCAAACAAGCAUAUGCAGACACCUCUCCCUCACACUGCCAUCCCCCACAGCCAGGAAACCCAUAUCGGAGGCGGGCCAGAGUCUCUGUGAGACUUGGCUGGGUCCGGGCCCUGGCUCAGAUGUCAGGUCCCUGCAUUAUUGAGCUCAGGAGCCUUUGUCUCCUCCUCAUUCCUGGUCCUCCCUUCUCCACGCUCCAGCAGCAGAGGAGAGGAGGGAGGGGACAUCUGCCCUGGCUCCCCAACCCCAUGGAACAGGCAGCCGCCCCUGGCGGCCGAGGGCUCCCCUGUAGCCAAAAGCAGGCCUUAGCUCUGUACCAGCACCUCUUUAGAUGCCCUGCGGGCCUGGGCCCACUCCAGGCUGCGCUGCAGCAGGUGAGGGAGGUGGGGCAUUGUCUCCAAAGGGCACGGUGGAGGCCUGAUGCCAUCUUGUCCCCCCAGGUGCAAGAGAGUCGGGCCUGUCCCUCGGGACUGGAGCUGCCCGCUGUGUUGCUGGAGAUGGAGCGGAGCCGGCGGGCCCAGGAACAGGUAGGGGCUGGCCGAGGGGCAUGGCAGAGGGCAGUGUGGGCACCCCUUCAUGCUCUGGCAAUGCGUCUUUUUGUAGCUCCUGUGGGACUUGGAGCUGCUGACUGGGGCGGGGCUGGGCCUCUUCUGGCCCCCCCGGGCCCAGUUCUGCGGUCUGAGGGACCGGGCCCAGUGUGCAUGGAGCCAGCGCAGCAAGCCCCGUGGUAGGAUGGGUAGGGGCCCCGAGCAGCCGAACAGCUGGGUGAGCAGGGGCAUGGCUGAAGGCAAGGGGGUCAGUGUGACGUCAGGGUGAUUGUGGUGGGGAGGAAGGUGAAUGGGGUGUGGGCUUUGGGCACAUAUGGACCUGGGUUGGGUCUCUGUUUUGACGCUCCCCGUGGACUGUAAGCCUCUGUUUUCUUAGCUGCAAAAUGGGGACGAUAGUAGAUCUUACUCAGAGGGAGCACCAGUGAACUCAUCCAUGGAAAGGGUUUAGUGGCACCCAGGACCUGUUAACUACAUACAGGCUAUUAUCAUGCUGCAAUUAACAACUAUCUGCGUCAAAUCAACUGCAUGGUGACAUCUAGAAGCUUUUUUUUAAUUUUUUUUUAAUGUCUAUUUAUUUUUGAGAGAGAGAGAGAGAGACAGACAGAGUGUGAGUAGGGGAGAGGCAGAGAGAGAGGGAGACACAGAUUCUGAAGCAGGCUCCAGGCUCCGAGCUGUCAGCACAGAGCCUGACACAGGACUUGAACUCACAAACUGUGACAUCAUGACCUGAGUCGAAGUUGGACACUUAACUGACUGAGCCACCCAGGUACCCCUAGAAGCCUUUAGACAUGGCUGCAGCGUGGGAGGAAUGCGAGCCUGGCAUGGCUCCUGAGGGCAGAGGCACUGAUGCCUAGCCCGGGGUGCGCGGACCUUUCCCUUCAGGGCUGGUGGCUGGGCUGACCCGUCUAGGAGGGAGGGUGCUAUGGUGACUGGGAACUAGGACCAUGCCUCCUAGUCUGAUUCCCAGUCACCAGUUGUCCAAGGCGCUCUGGGCAAGUUGACGGCCAUCUCUGAGAGCCAAGGCAUCCUCAGCUGUAGCAAGGGGGGGUGUUCAUGGUGACUGCUAAGGAAGUGUCCAGCUGACAUUGUUGGUCACGACUGCGGUCUCAUCUGAAGGCUCGAGUGGGCAGGAGAGCUCCAUUUCCUCACAAGGAGGGGAAGAGGACAGGGUCGUACAUGGGCUUGGAUACCAGGAGGAGGGAUCAUUGGGGGCCACCUUAAAGGCUGCCUACCACACUGGGGAAUGAUGCCCUGCGGACUAGGGCACCCUCCAACUUUCCAGAGUUCCAGGCCAUGCCCAUUGCCUCAGGCUGGGGACUCCCUGAGCCAGAACCAUCAGCUUCCUGAGGGGUGAGUCUUUCUCUUGGGAAAUCCUGUUUGUUUCGUGUUGCCACACAAAAGGGCCAAGCACUGGACCCUCUUUCCUGUCUCCUUCCACGGCCCUGCCUAGCAUCUCUUUCUUGGGCCCAAGGCUCAUCCUGGGGCCCCCACAGCCCCUGGAAAGGGUGACCCCGAGUUCCAGCUGCUGGGAUCCAGUGGUGGGUGCAGGGGCUAGGAGAGGCUGCCCUGCACUGGGGUGGCAGACAGGCUUCCUCCCCCUUCCAGAGCCCAUGGGCCGUGGGAGGUGUAUCUGAAACAGCCUCUGUACUCCCGCAGGGGGCUGGCGGUAGUCCCAUCAUCAGCCCUGGAUCUGGGUGAAGCUGCGAGUCACAGAGACCCAAGGCGGGCGAGCCCUGCUCUGCCUGCAGAGUCCACACCUGGUACGCAGACACCUUGGCCGGGCGGCCAGACUAGAGCUGGAGGAGGUGGGAAGUCCUCACCCCAAGUGCCAGGAUUCCAGUCCCUUCCUCACUCAUUCUUUGUCUCAUACUUUAUAUUGGGUGCCAGGAGCACCCAGGGACAACAAGCAGGUUUUAUUUUAUGUCCUAGUUCCACCUGGUUGGUAGCAGCUGUCCCAGGCACAGGGUCCAGGAGGAUUCUGAAGCUAAACUGAGCGGGGGGGGGGGGGGGGGGGGGGGGGGGGGGGGGGGGGUGCAGAGCGCGCUGGGAAGGACUGUUCACGGCGGCCUAGGGAGGGGGGAACGGAACAGCAGCUCCUGCCCCUGCGUCCUACCCUCGCAUCAGACACCCAGAACAUACAGAGCACAAGAGAGACUCGGCCCCAUUGCUUGGUCCCUGUCACUGAGGAGAUCACAGCCUAGCGAGAGCGUGACAGUAAACAGGCAGUUCGAAUUCUAUGAGAUGGACGCUGUGAACCCUGGGCCUAUUCAUUUAAGUGGAACAGACUCUCCAGUUAUUUGUUAAAUUAGCCUAGUGUAGCCAUAAGCCUUUAAUUGUUCCGUCGUGCGCGUGAGAGAAGAGCGAAGUGCCAAUGCUUGUUUUUCUGACUGACGGAAAGUUUUACAAAUAGAGGGUCUCUUGGGGAAACGGAGAUACCAAUGACAACAUUAUAACCAGAGAAAUAAACUAGCAAGUAAGACAACAAAUCAAACUGUGAGGGGACAGGUUCUGGGGGUUAUGUUCCCUGUUCACGGCAAUGAUUUCUACAGGCUUGGGAGCCUGGUCACAGACUCCUCUGCUCAAAAAUUCUUCAAAAGACAUUUCUUUUCACAGAGAACAUGCCCAUUUGGUUACUGUUAUGCAAUGUGGAUGUGUGAAUAUUCAUAAAGAUGGAAUAGACUUGUGAAAGUUCUCCAUUUAGGACCUUACGAAAUCAAGUUCUUUUAACUACUUUUAUGGAGGCAGGAUGACUCUCCUUCCUCCACAGCUGCAAGGGAGCAGUGACAUUUCAUUUCUUUUUUUAGAUGUCUUUUGUUAAUUAUGAAACUUGCAGUUUUUAGGCCAGGCUCCAGCCUAAAAUUUCAUUUCUUGAGUUUCAUUUGAUUUCACUGUCAGCAACCAAGAAAGAGCGACAGAGGGUUUUUCUUAAUAAUAGUCAAAUAAGGCGUAUACAGUAGGUUUCUUUAUGGGCCUACGCAGGCCCACCAGGAUGAAGGGGGGUGUUCUUACGAGGGCCUGACAAGCUGGCCAACAGACCCUUCCUGCCCCGAAGCAUCCUCUGGUGGUUUUGGGGACAGGGGUGUGCAGAUUCUUCUAAGGUGUCCUGCCUCAGCUGGGAGGAUGAGAAAGAUGUGGUCGGCUGCUGGCAGGCAAAUCCGACAAGCAGGCACAUGACAGGCAACGUGAAGACUAGUGGACCCAUGAACUGUCAUAGCCUUGGAGUUCAAACAUCAGUCCUCAGGGCAUCCCCUUCUCUCAUGUGCUGGCGACUCCCUAGGCUUCCUGGUUCCAGCUCAGGUGGAAUGUCUGUGAGGGGCUGGGGCAUGAGCAGAGGGUUCCCGACAUUGGUCUUUCUCCCUCAGGCUGCCUACAAGAGCUGAACCCCACCACCAGCUUUGGGGACCCAGCAAGUUCUGAGUUCAAGGUGAAAGAGUCAAAGUGCCCUGGGCAAGGGCCCUCUCAGAUUGGGAAGAGCAGGGGUGGGGUCUGCCUGGGAGGAGCCUACUGGGGGGAGGUGGUCCUACCUCCUAUAGCCAGGGGGAAGAAGGGACCGCCACUUCCCCCUGUGAAGUACCUUUUACACAACAUAAAAUAAGUUUAAUGAAUUCAGGAAUCAGGCGAGGACUGUAAUGGAAGUGAGGCCCACUAGGACAGCCACUGAGGUCUCCAGGGUCCCUUGGGGGAAGUGGGCCUGGCACGGGGAUUCCCUCACAAGCCUGGGACCAAAUGCUCUUGCUUCCCAGAACCUGGCCCAGAGGGCAGAGAGGAGACAAGCAGGACCCACAACCCAGAGGCCCUGUCAACAGCCAUCCGUGAAUGUAGGCGGUCAGGGAGCCCCAAGGCUCUCAGGCCUGCCCUCCCGGGGCCUGCCCGAACCCCAGGGUCCCCUGGAGGGGCUGGGCUGGAGCCUGGGCCGGGAGAGAGCAGAACUUCAGAAACUGCUGAGGAUUGAGAUUCCUCAGAGGCAGAGAGAGGGGGACCCUCAGGAGCAGAAAGAAGAGAGCCCCCAGGGUCAGAGAGGGGAAGCCCCCCAGGGGGAGAGCAAAGAAGUUCCUUCGAGACACAGAGAGAAGACACACCAGGGUCAGAGUGCGGAGGCCACUCAGGCUCUGAGGGAGGAGGUCUCUGAGUAUCCCAGGUGUGAGGCUCCCCAGAGUGAGAGGAGAGAGUCUCCUCAAGGUCAAAGAGGAAAUAGCCCUAAGUGUCAGAGAACGGAGGUUCUCCAGGAGCCCCAAGAGCCAGAAAUGAAGACCCUUCAGACUUCCCCAGGCCCUAACUGGGAGGUGGCUGAGGGAGAGGUGCCUACACAACCCCCGGAGGAAGGCGGCUCCCUGGGAAUUUCUAGGGAUCUCUGUAGGUCCCUGGGAGAACAGAUGCCACAGCAAAGGGGUAGGGAGAGCCCUGGCUCCGGGGAAAGGGCCGCCCAGCGCCGAGAGUCAGCACCGGGUGCGGGAGAGCAGAGGGCCUCCGGGGAGCGGGUACGGACUCCCCUUCCACCCCCGAGGCCCCCGACCCGGUCGCUGCUCCCAAGCCCAGGGGCCGAGACGCUAGAGGCCCCAAGCACUGGGAGCUCGGGGCAGCAGGAGCGCCCCGCAGCUCCCCGGGGGCACCCAGGGCUGGUGCCCGACCCGCACGGGCUUCAGGACCGGGAAGAAAGCCCAGGCCCGGCGGAGCAGGUGCCGGGCGCCGGCGGGGAGCCGAGGGGCGACGCGGAGGCCCCCAAGGCCUCGAAGGCCGCGUGGCCCUGGCCCCCGGGCAGGGAGAAGGCGUCGGCGGGCGUGAGCGCGGUGCAGCAGGAGACCGCUCUGCAGCGGCUGCUGGAGCUGCACCGCGCGGCCAGGCGCCGGCGGCGGCAGGAUCGCGAGCAGCAGCGGCUCCGGGUGCGUAUCCGCACCUGCCUGCCGGCUUGAGGCAGGCGGGGCCCGCCGAGGACCGGCCGGCCGGCCGCUGACAGCCGUCUCCGUCCCCCCCCACCCCCCCAGGUCUUGGAAUGCCUCCGCAUCGCCAGGAACCGCCACUGCCGGGUGCACCCUCUGGGGCCCCCACCCAGCCCAGCUCAGCUCCAGCCACAGGCAAGGCUCCCAGAAGGCGGUGGCGUCACCACUAUCUGGGCCAGGGCGGGGGGAACGUGGGGAUGGGGGAGGGGAGGGCUGGGUCCGAGCUGGGCGCGCCUCCUGCAUGCCUUUGAAGUGCACACUUGCACUGACCCCGACAGAGGGCGGGAGGGGGGCGUCAGUCCGGGUGCUGCCCCCUGCUGGCUCCAUCACGCCCGCGGGGUCCAAGGCCGGGGCGCUCAGCGCUCUGCACCGCCCCAGGAGGACGCGGCGGGGCAGCGGCGAGCCCUGCGGCAGCAGCUGCAACAAGUGCAUCGGGAGAGGACCCGGCGGCUGCGGGCCCUCGGGGCCAGGUGAGGGGGAGGAUGGGGAGGCUUAUGGGGCGAUCUUCCUCGAGAGGAAGAGGGAGGGAGAGCGAGCGAGAUGGUUCUCUUUCUCGGACAUCUGGAAUAACCGGCCACUCUCUUUCAGGAACACCCAGAACUUCCAGCAGCUACUAUGGCCUCACACUGAGGACCCUUUGCCAGGAGAGGAGCCCUCGCCCUUUGCAGCCCCAUCUAGUCAUUGCUGAAUCCUCAAAGGGAUGAUUAAAGCGAUGAGGAUUAAAGAAAAAGCAAGUGUAGGUUAGAGGGAGUUCCAAGAAAGGCCCCGAACGCUGCCUCGGGGCCUGGGAGGGCCAGAAACACACACAGCAGCUCAGUCCCACUAGAAGGCGUGUUAUUUCGUCUUCCCUCCCCUAACUCCACUGCCCGGCCAAGGUCAGAGAGCCAGGUCCCGGGGGUCAAGCAGUGCGAAGGCCCCAUUCUUUCGGAAGAAUGAUUCGAUGCGGCACGUCUUACAGGAGACCAGUUCUUGCUUCACCGGGGGGCCUGGGAAAAAAUGUCAGAGGCCAGGAAUGAUGGGUCCUGGGAAAGGGAACUUGGCCAGAGCAUGGGAGCCCUGCCUUCCUAGCCCUAGGAAUCUGCCUGUAUUGUAUCCACUUUGUAUCCUUUGUGAAGGAAUAAAAAGUGCUUCUGAGGAAUGGGAGCUGUGGGCAAAGGAAGGAGCUGGCUGGGUGCCCAGAUCAGCAGUGAGGGCAGAACCAGCCAGUCAGCCAUGUGCCAUUAUUUCCCCCACCUCAGGGUCCUCUGCAGAGUGGGUGGUGGGACACCCAGCACUGCUUAUCAUAGGGACAGAGCUAAACGUCUCUGGGAGAGACAGGGCUUCCUUCUACCUCCUGUUCCCCUGGGACUUGCUUCCUGCUUUUAUUGGAAAACUCUUUCCUCUCCCUUUAGCACCCUGGGGAAAGUGGGGGGAAUUUUUUAGGCAAAAUGUCAACUGUGUUUAUCCCAACCAUCUACCUGUGGAUGGCAUUCAAGCCUGUGGAGAAAAACCCAUGACUUUGUAGUCUCACUUGAAAUUCAUGACCACAGAUAGCAAAGGGACGGACGCGGCGUCACCCAGCAAUCCCGCAACACUCCCCGGUGUAGUCCCUUUCCCAUGCCAUAACUUCAUCUCCCACUACACCGCUGUCUCCCCACUCUCUUCCCUGAUGAGAAAAAGCCUCCCAGAAAAAGCAGACUCAGUCCAGAUGGAUAGCCUUCCCACCAAAACCGUCUCCCCUACCCUUCUCUGUGCCCCUGGCCUCUCCUGUCAGAUUCCAGCAUCUGGAGAUCCCUGGAUGAGCUUGUCCCACCUCAGGCUUUAAAUAGCACCUAUAUUCUGCUGCCCCCCAAUGUGCGCUUCAGCUCCGACCGCACUCCGGAGGGGGGACUUGCGUACACAGCCACUGCAUUGGCACCUCCAGCAUGGCCGGGGCUGAUCUGUCUUCACGCCCCCUCCAGCCCUGCUCCUCUGUCUUCCCUGUCCAGCUGCUUGAGCCAAACACCUGCGCUUCGCCAUGGCUUUCUUUCUCCUUCUGUCAUUCAAUCCAUCAGUAGGCUUCAGGGAUCCUUCCUCCAAAACAUAGCCUGAAUCUACCUCAGCUCUACUGCUGAUCACCCUAGCCCAAGCCAUUAUCCUCCCUGCCAGGAUAACUCAAAAUAGAUGCAGACCUCAUCUGCCAGAGCGGAUUCUUUCUCUGAAAAAGCCAUUACUUACAGAACAGUUAGUAUCCUAUCAGUACCAUUCACCUGCUUAAAGCUCUCCACGGCUUCCUCUCCCACUUGGGUUCCUCCAUCGUGUCACUUAGCUUCCAGCCCUUAGGUCGGUCCUCCGAGACCCAUCUAAAACGUCUCAUGCCCCCUGCCCCUCUCUCCCAUCACUCCCUAGUCUCGUCAUGGAACCUGUCCUUCUCAGAUGUUUCCUUUGUCUUAUGUUUACGGCCUGGACCCCCCGCGAGAAUGGACACCCCCAUCCGUGUGUCUUGUGUGCCUAGGGCCGACAGCAUGGCCUGGCUCAUGGCAGGAGCUCUGUGUUUGUGAAGUGAAUAAUCUCUGGGAGGUUGGGGCUCACCCAGCUGCCAGCCGUAUAUGAAGUUGGUGGUGAUGGGGAAGAGGUAGCGCAUCUCUGGCACGUCCAGUUUUCGGGUGUUGAGGUAGCGGUAGCGCCCCUGGAAGUCGUGGGAGAGGCCUUCGUAGAGCAGGGCCCGGGUGGCAGGCAGCACCGGAUACAUUUCGGACUGAAUGGGCGUCUCCAGGGGAGGGCCGGGGGUCUUGGAAGGCACCGCUUUGGGGGCAGGUGGGGGCGAGAGUGGGGCUUUGGGGUGCAGGGUGGGCAGCGCGAGGGGUAGGCGGGCUGCAGCCUUAGCCUUCUGCUUGGCCUUCACCGUCGACCCGUACUUGCGGUGCCAUUCACAGCGAAACAUCUUCUCCCUCAGAUAUUCCUCCUUCCAGAAGUUCUGCCGCAGCGUAUCCAUGUUGAGUUGCCGCGACAUGGUAGCAAGGGCAGGAGAGGUAGCAGGGUGGCUGCAGCUGAGGGGUGAACACAGGAGGCAGAGUCCUUCGGACAGCAGGUGGCUGCCACGGACAGUCACCCGGCAACCAGGCCUCACCUCACAUAGGGCCAGGGUUCUAUUUGCCAUGCCCUUAGCAGACCACAAGCAGACCUUGAUCCACAGGCAGCCUCAGGCCAGGGCCCGCCGGAGAAAGGCCUCGAUCUCCAAACCUCUUGCGGGAUCCGGGCUCAGUCUCGUAUCACAGGCCUUUAGGUUUCCUGUGUUUCUGCUUCCAGCCCCUUGGGGUCAGGUCCCCUCCCAGCCCAAUAGAGACUGAAGUGGGGGAGCCAGAGGCCUGGACACAAGCCUCCUCCCGCUCCUCCCCACCAGAGCCGGUCACUUGAUUCAGAGGACCCAUCCCUGAGUUAUGACCUCCUGGGACAAUCUUCCUGGUGCAACUCUUCUAUGCCUAUAUCUUUGGCAGAAGCUUUUCCAGCCCUGCCAGUCGAAUCUCCCCAACAGCCUCAUCCCACGCGUGUCCUUUCUAGCACCCAGCCUCAGUUUGGAGAGAAACAAUAACGUUACUUUAAUUUAACAUCAACAAUGACACCGUGUAACAGCACAGGGAAGAGGUGGUGGAGAGAAGACACUCAGGCUUCCUGUUCCCUAACCAGCCUUGGCUUUAAUGGCAGAGCCCCAGCAACCUGGAAGCACCUCACCUAGCCUCUUAAUGGAGUGGGCAGGGGCACGGGAAUUGGAAAUCAGAGGCUCAAAACUCACAGAAGGACUGAGGGCAAGCCUGGGGAGGAGCUGCCUGGCUGUAGGGAGGGCCCUAGCGCAGGUCUUCGGCUGUGAACAUGCCCCGGGCCCGGCGCAGGAUGGAGUCCUUGGCGGCAUCAUAGGGGUGCUCCUUGGACGGGAUCUCCAGGACGGCUGGGAUGGAGCGCUGGUGGGCGUCGAGCGCGUGCCGCACCAUCUCUGCGAUGUACUGGUUGAUGAGGAUAAUGCCGAUGUCAUCCCGGUUUAGAAACUGCCUGUUGGGAGAAAUGAGAAGGGAGCCCACUCCGAGGUGGUGAGGCCGGGUGGCGGAGGCAAAUGUGCUUGACCCAGCGAGUGCAGAGGCCAAGGGCAAAGGCUGCUAGACCGAACUCUCUCCAUUCUAACCAGAACCAACUUCACUCAAAAUCUAGGGGCCCUGGCUGUCAGGGGUAACUUCCACCUCCCCUGCUUGGAAGGCUCCCAAGUGAGCUGGUGCUGAAGAUUAGGGCACCGGCUGAUGUGACCUGUACGCUGCGUUUGUGGGAAAAAGAGAGAGGAUAAGAAUAUAUAUGUCUGUCCCUAGUAUGUAUAUUUAAAAAAGCAGGAAGAUAAGGAAUUAAGCGCUUCCAGGGGCGGAGAAGGGAGGUAAGGAAGUGGAAAUAGAUGGGGGUAGGAGUGAUACUUCUCAAUAUGUAUACCUUUGAAAUAUUAAUUUGCAAACCACACGAAUACCUUAACUUUUCAAAGGAAAACAAUUUCUUUAAAGGGGCUGAUGAGACCACUAAAGGCCUUAAGGUCUAUGCUGAAGUUUGGCAUGAGCUAAGAAUACAACAUAGGAAGAGGAAAAUCAUCCUUUCCCCACAGAGAGGACCUAGCACUGGGAUCUUCCUUUCUUGUAAUCACCCAGGCAUUAAUAUAUUAAAAACGACUGGAGCGCCUGGAUAGCUUAGUCAGUUAAGCAACCGAUUCUUGGUUUCAGUUCAGGUCAUGAUCUCACAGUUUGUGGGAUGGAGCCCUGUGUUGUGCUCUGUGCUGACACUGCAGGGCCUGCUUGGGAUCCUCUCUCUCUCUCUCUCUCUCUCUCUCUCUCUCUGUCUCCCUCCCUCCCUCCCCUGCUCACACACUGGCAUGAGCUCCCUCUCUCUCAAAAUAAAUAAACAUUAAAAAAAUAUAUAUCUAUAUAUAAAACUAUUUUUGCUGAGCACUUGCUCUGUGCCAGGCACGAGGGCCAGUUAGACUUGAUGACUGAUCUCUGGGUCCCUUUGGAUGGAAACAUGGAAUGGUCUUGGAGUAAAAUCUGUCCUUCUCCUAUGACAACUUGGGUCACUUUACCAGAAUGCUUAGAGAUCAGGCCAGUUCAGGGCCUAUCAUCCCCAGGCAGCAGGAUCCAGUCUCAGCCAGCAGCUCAAGGCUGGACUGUUUAGGGGAAAACAGGGGAGAGUGGUUUGUUCCUAAGACUUGGCAACAGGGACCUUAGAGAAGGGGUGAGAAAGCACAGGGGGCUGGCAUCCUGGUUUCAAGUCACCAGGACACCUCCUGAGUUAAGGGACAUGCCCACAUCCACACUAUGAAGCUAUCACUCUUGACCCAGAGCGGGAAAUGAGGACUUCAAAUGCAAGGUCUUUUUGCUAAAUUCACUUAUUCUGGUGGCUUUUUAAAAAGAUUCUUUAAAAAAAGGUUUUUUUGAUUUUAUUUAUUUUUGGGAGGGAGGGAGGGAGAGAGAGAGAGAGAGAGAGAGAGAACAAACAAGUUGGGGAAGGGCAGAGAGCGAGGGAAACACAAAAUCUGAAGCAGGCUCCAGACUCUGAACUGUCAGCACAGAAUUCCACGUGGGGCUCGAACACACGAACCGGGAGAUCAUGACCUGAGCCGAAGUCGGGCGCUCAAUUGACUAAGCCACCCAGGCACAAACCCCCCCUUUUUAAAAAAAUGUCAUUUAUUUUUGAGAGAGAGAGAGAGAGAGAGAGAGAGAGACAGAGUGCAAGUCGGGGAGGGGAAAAGAUUCUUACAUUCUCUGUACUGAUCAUGCCAUACACACAUGAGGUUUUUCUUCUUUUGAUUAAAAAAAAAAAAAAGGCAAGGUCUUAGCACAAAGUAGGAUACAGUCCUAAUAUUCUGCAGGCUAUGCUCAGGACAAUGGGAAAUUCCAAGACUGAAGAGUGUGGACCUGGCUUAAGAGAGUUGGGCCUAGGGUUCAAAUCUCCACUCCCUCUCUUCCAAAUGGCGUGACUUUGGAAUGUGCCUUAACCUCUCUGAGCUUUAGUUUUCCCACUUGUACGUGGGAAUAAUAACCCCUACCUUACAGGAUGAUUGUGAGCCUCUGAAGGGCAUGAAAAUACAAGAAAGCCCGACCCCACUGCCUAGGUGUUCGCUCAGUGUGUGGUUCCUUUAGGGGUCAACUCCCAAAAGAGCUGAGGCAGGUCCCAGGGGCCGGUUGGGCCGAGGGGCGGCGCCUGUCACGAGCUCUGUUCCCCUUCUUUCCUGACACACAGUCAUAUGAGGGAUGAGCUCGUGGACCUGACAUAACCCGGGUCCCCCAGAGUGCAGAAAGAGAACUUGGGGCACAGAGGCCUCCCCGGAAGGGCGGCCGGACCGACUUCCUUGACCCUCGAGGGCAGGGUCUGGAAGCCCCUCUCAGGCCCCGACUGCCGGGUCUCCGAGCUGCCCCCACCUAUUCCCCUCGCUCCGACCCGAAGCAGAGGGACCCAUUCAGGCCUCACGGGCUACCGUACCGGAAAGUGUCUUCGAUCUCAUUGAUGGUUGUAUCCUUCUCCACCACCAGGAAAUUAGGGUGGCGGUUCUUGUUAAGCUCCCCUAUGCCGCCCAGGAGGAAGCCAGUAACUGUGUCCUCGUCUCCGAUCACCGCAAUUAGCUUCCCCCUACCCGCCAUUCUCGCAGACAGGUAGAGCUCAGUAGAGACGGCUUGAAGUCCCCGAAGCCCCACCCCCGCAGUGCGCCGCCUUUUCAAUCGCACCUCCACCCUUUAGACCUGCGCAGUUCAACACUCCGCCUCCGGGACAUGCGUAUUAAUAGAAACACGGCCUCAAUCUGAAUACGCCUGCGCCAUAAAGAGAGGCCCGAACCUGGGGACUACGAGUCCCAGAAGGACGUGCGGCACCACGGACUCACGCAGGCGCGUUCCAUCGCUCGUUCAGUAAACCUGUUGAACCUAGCGCUGUUAGACCCUGAGACCUCAGAAGAAAAGACGUAGUUUCUGUUCUCGAGGGUAAGGUCCGAGCCUGAACCGUGUACGUUAAGUCUUUAACUAUGGCACACAGUUAACGACCAGUACAUAUUUGUUUAGUAGAUAAAAGAUUGAACAAGUU
RNAcentral lists this long non-coding RNA (17597 nucleotides) under Lynx pardinus (Iberian lynx). Lineage: Eukaryota; Metazoa; Chordata; Mammalia; Carnivora; Felidae. The record is from RNAcentral.